AAGUCGAGCGAGAAAACCCGCAAGGGUGAGUACAGCGGCGCACGGGUGCGUAACACGUGGGUAAUCUGCCCUGAAGCCCGGAAUAACCUCCCGAAAGGGAAGCUAAUACCGGAUAAGACCACGGGAACCUCGGUUCCUGCGGGAAAAGGUGGYCUCUGCAUGCAAGCUAUCAUUUCAGGAUGAGCCCGCGGCCCAUCAGCUCGUUGGCGGGGUAACGGCCCACCAAGGCUACGACGGGUAGCUGGUCUGAGAGGACGAUCAGCCACACUGGAACUGAGACACGGUCCAGACUCCUACGGGAGGCAGCAGUGGGGAAUCUUGCGCAAUGGGCGAAAGCCUGACGCAGCAACGCCGCGUGUGUGAUGAAGGUCUUCGGAUCGUAAAGCACUGUCGGGAGGGACGAAUAAGGGCCAGGUGAACAAUCUGGCUCGAUGACGGUACCUCCAAAGGAAGCACCGGCUAACUCUGUGCCAGCAGCCGCGGUAAUACAGAGGGUGCAA
Molecule: ribosomal RNA, 500 nt
Filed under: uncultured bacterium
Lineage: Bacteria
Description: bacterial SSU rRNA
Rfam family: Bacterial small subunit ribosomal RNA
Source: RNAcentral